UGUUAAAAUACUGGUUCUCGUCAGAUCUCUGGUUAAGUAAUGUCGAGCCUGAUCAGUACCUAGAUGGGUGACCACUUAAGAAUACCAGGUGAUGUAAG
Molecule: non-coding RNA, 98 nt
Organism: Acanthosepion pharaonis
Lineage: Eukaryota; Metazoa; Mollusca; Cephalopoda; Sepiida; Sepiidae
Source: the annotation of a GenBank genome assembly